Molecule: microRNA, 25 nt
Filed under: Euprymna scolopes
Lineage: Eukaryota; Metazoa; Mollusca; Cephalopoda; Sepiida; Sepiolidae
Also listed under: 2 other names
Description: Esc-Mir-7_5p (mature (guide))
Source: RNAcentral
UGGAAGACUAAUGAAUUUUGUUGUU